UCUCAGCGCUGGCAAGGUGUCAACUUAAUCCAAAGCCUUUGAAAAAUGGUGUAGUGUAUCUAGUAGUCUUUCCUGUUGUGUUGGGUGAGUGGUUGUUUCUACGCCGUCCAAAGCGUUGAACUCGGUCUCACUCGGCCUUGGUGGACGAAAGUUACUACACCCCCUUCGAGGGUGGACGCUUCUCCCACACAACCACCUGGGAGGAAUGUCCUGUACGCUUCCGUCCCCCAAAAGACGGAGGUGUCAGGCGUUUGCCGUACAGCCGUUGUAGAUUUUUAGGCGAAAGGGAAUCUGGUACUUAUUCCAGAACCUCGUCCCGGAUAAAACGUCCCCGAG
This 336-nucleotide ribosomal RNA is filed under the name Pseudeuphausia latifrons. RNAcentral describes it as "LSU rRNA". The record is from RNAcentral. Lineage: Eukaryota; Metazoa; Arthropoda; Malacostraca; Euphausiacea; Euphausiidae.